GAGUUUGAUCCUGGCUCAGAACGAACGCUGGCGGCAGGCCUAACACAUGCAAGUCGAGCGCUUCACUUCGGUGAGGAGCGGCGAACGGGUUAGUAACGCGUGGGAACGUACCCAAAGGUAGGGAAUAGCCACUGGAAACGGUGAGUAAUGCCCUAUGUGCCCUUCGGGGAAAGAUUUAUCGCCUUUGGAUCGGCCCGCGUUAGAUUAGGUAGUUGGUGGGGUAAUGGCCUACCAAGCCUACGAUCUAUAGCUGGUUUGAGAGGAUGAUCAGCAACACUGGGACUGAGACACGGCCCAGACUCCUACGGGAGGCAGCAGUGGGGAAUCUUAGACAAUGGGCGAAAGCCUGAUCUAGCCAUGCCGCGUGAGUGAUGAAGGCCUUAGGGUCGUAAAGCUCUUUCGCCAGGGAUGAUAAUGACAGUACCUGGUAAAGAAACCCCGGCUAACUCCGUGUCAGCCGCCGCCGUAAG
This 470-nucleotide ribosomal RNA is filed under the name uncultured microorganism. RNAcentral's name for it is "bacterial SSU rRNA". It matches the Rfam family "Bacterial small subunit ribosomal RNA", at positions 9 to 524 of the family's 1533-position model. The record is from RNAcentral.